AUGCACUUUUAUUUCUGCUGUUCCUCAAAGCUCCAGGGUGCGUCAGUUUCCAUAAUGUUUGAACAACCCAUCAACUUUCUGAGCUGGAACGUUAGGGGCUUGAACUGCCCGGAUCGACGCUCUACGGUGAACGCCACGAUCGCCUCCUCGUCGUGCCAUGUGGUGUGCCUACAAGAGACAAAACUCGGCAACAUCGACCGAUUCACCGCAGCUUCUCUGGGUGGCCAGAGGCUACGUAGUUUUGCGCAAAGACCGGCAAACGGCACUAGGGGAGGAAUCUUGCUGCUCUGGGAUGAUCGUCUUGUUGAGGUUUCCUGCAUCACGUACACAGCAUACUGUCUUUCCGCCAUGAUCAGUGUGCGAGGGACCGGUUUACGCUUCAAGAUCACAUCCGUCUACGGCCCCACAGACCCCUCCUGUAAAGACGCUUUCUUCGCCGAGCUACUCAGCCAGAAGCCUACGACUGGGGUGGCAUGGCUCGCCACUGGUGAUUUCAACCAAAUCUACCGGGCCAGAGACAAAAACAAAAGAAAUGUCAACCGAAGCAGGAUCAACCGUUUUAGAGCAAUGCUACAAAGUUGUGAGCUCAAAGAAAUACACCUCCAAAAUCGGCGUUUCACUUGGAGCAAUGAGAGGGAAAACCCAACUUUGUGCAAGUUAGACUCGUUCUUUUGCAACGCCGAGUGGGACGCAUCCUUCAACACCCACGUCCUUCAUGCUCUCUCCUCUUCCCUCUCCGACCAUUGUCCGCUACUACUUGCCGAUGAUAAGGGACCAAGGAAGCCUCGGGUCUUUAAAUUCGAAAACUUCUGGGCAUCCAUACCCAGGUUCCAUGAGUUGGUCCAAAGGGCGUGGAACGAGAGGGUGGAUCACACUGAACCAUAUCAAAUCCUAUACUACAAGCUCAAGAAGACGGCUCUCCGCCUCGCAGAAUGGAGUAGGAGACUUUUCUCAAAGGCAAAAAUUCACCACCAUGCCGCUCUUCUGGUGAUCCUUUGCCUCGACAUCGCCCAAGAGGACAGGCUCCUCUCCACCGAGGAGCUCGACCUUCGGUCCAGGCUUAAGAGAAGGGUCAUCGCCUUGGCUGUGCUAGAAAGAUCGCGCAAGAAACAAUGUGCAAGAAUUUCAAAUCUUAAAGAAGGGGACGCCAAUACAAAAUUCUUCCAUCGCCGAGUCACCUCUAGGAGGAGAAAAAACCAUAUUCACAGGAUCAAGAAUGAUCAUGGUUGGGUCACCGAGCACGGUGCCAAAGAGAAACUAAUCCAAGACCACUUCUCCAAUGUCCUAAAGAGAGGCCCCCUGAGCCGCAAAGAUUUCAACUGGGACGAGCUAAACCUGGAACCUCUUGAUUUGCACAACCUUGACUCCCCGAUAGUCGAGAGUGAGGUCCUCGAAGCAAUCAAUGACCUACCCAGUGACAAGGCUCCGGGUCCAGAUGGCUUCACGGGCCUCUUUUUCAAGAAGUGUUGGGAUAUCGUUAAGCCGGACCUCAUGCGGGUCAUGAAUCAUUUUGACUCCCUUCACACCGCGAAUCUACAGUGGCUCAACUCCGCGAAUGUGGUGCUCCUGCCUAAAAAGGAAGGGGCGGAGGGGAUCGCCGACUAUAGGCCCAUUAGCCUCAUCCACGCGGUCGCGAAAAUUAUUGCGAAGGUGCUCUCCACUCGGCUGGGCCCCCACAUGACAAGCCUCGUCUCCAACGCCCAAAGCGCCUUCAUUAAAACAAGAAACAUCCAUGACAACUUCUUGUAUGUUCGCAAUCGCGCUCGGCGCUUGCACAAGAGCAAGACCCCGUCCCUUCUUUUCAAGCUUGAUAUUCGCAAGGCCUUUGACACCGUCAAGUGGGAGUAUUUGCUUGAUCUUCUCCAACGGCGAGGGUUCCCUCCCAAAUUCAGGGAUUGGAUCGCUGCCCUCCUUUGCUCUUCAUCUUCGAGGAUCAUCCUCAAUGGUAUUGCCGGUGGU
This 1959-nucleotide ribosomal RNA is filed under the name Triticum aestivum (bread wheat). RNAcentral's name for it is "partial small subunit ribosomal RNA". The record is from RNAcentral. Lineage: Eukaryota; Viridiplantae; Streptophyta; Magnoliopsida; Poales; Poaceae.